UGGGGAAUAUUGCGCAAUGGGGGGAACCCUGACGCAGCCAUGCCGCGUGAAUGAAGAAGGCCUUAGGGUUGUAAAGUUCUUUCGGUAUUGAGGAAGGUUGAUGUGUUAAUAGCACAUCAAAUUGACGUUAAAUACAGAAGAAGCACCGGCUAACUCCGUGCCAGCAGCCGCGGUAAUACGGAGGGUGCGAGCGUUAAUCGGAAUAACUGGGCGUAAAGGGCAAGCAGGCGGUUAUUUAAGUGAGGUGUGAAAGCCCCGGGCUUAACCUGGGAAUUGCAUUUCAGACUGGGUAACUAGAGUACUUUAGGGAGGGGUAGAAUUCCACGUGUAGCGGUGAAAUGCGUAGAGAUGUGGAGGAAUACCGAAGGCGAAGCNNGCCCCUUGGGAAUGUACUGACGCUCAUGUGCGAAAGCGUGGGGGAGCAAACAGGAUUAGAUACCCUGGUAGUCCACGCUGUAAACGCUGUCGAUUUGGGGGUUGGGGUUUAACUCUGGCGCCCGUAGCUAACGUGAUAAAUCGACCGCCUGGGGAGUACGGCCGCAAGNUA
RNAcentral lists this ribosomal RNA (547 nucleotides) under uncultured bacterium. RNAcentral describes it as "bacterial SSU rRNA". It matches the Rfam family "Bacterial small subunit ribosomal RNA", at positions 355 to 895 of the family's 1533-position model. The record is from RNAcentral.